Molecule: long non-coding RNA, 1498 nt
Filed under: Homo sapiens (human)
Lineage: Eukaryota; Metazoa; Chordata; Mammalia; Primates; Hominidae
Description: long intergenic non-protein coding RNA 847
Source: RNAcentral
GAGCACAGUGCCUCCUCCUGCUCCUCCAGGAAGCUUCUGCUGAUUGAACGCAGGCCAGAUGGCGAGAUCCGGAGCAACCUUCUUAGAUCAAGGGAAGAAAGGGGCACAAGAGGGGAGUAGGUAACAAGAUAAAAGGAGCUCCCUCCCUGAUGACUACAGAGCCAUCGUGGCAGCCCUGGGCCUCCAUUUCAGACGUUCAUCUUGCCUAAGCCACCACCAUCAGGGUCUCAGUCAGUCAUCAUUCUCAUUUACUCGGGUGGCUGGGUGAGGGCGGAAUACUACCUUCCAGCUGUCUGAGAUUAAGCCUAAGCCACCACCAUCAGGGUCUCAGUCAGUCAUCAUUCUCAUUUACUCGGGUGGCUGGGCGAGGGCGGAAUACUACCUUCCAGCUGUCUGAGAUUAAGCAGAACAGCAGCUAAAGCAGUAACAGCAGGUCUCCUUCAGCAGCUUGCCACAGGGAAGAGGGUCCCGCGUGAACCGAACUCAACUUCCACCUGCGCAGAGGCUGGAGUAUAGUGGCAUGAUCAUAGAUCACUGCAGCCUCAAACUCCUGGGCUCAAGCGAUCCUCCCACCUCAGCCUCCAUAUAGCUGGUGGGGACCAAGUUUCUAACACAUGAAUGUUGGGAGACACAUUCAGACCAUCGCAGUGGCCUUAUAAAAAGAGACACAAGAGCUUGCUCUCUGCCAUGUGAGAAUACCACAAGAAGACUGUCCUCAGCAAAUCAGAAAGCGGGUGGACCCUCAUCAGACACCAGAUGUGCCUGCACCUUGAUCUUGGACUUGCCAGCCUUCAGAACAGUAAGAAAGAAAUGUGUGUUGUUUAAGCCACCCAGUCUAUGGUAACUUGCUAUAGCAGCCCACUAGGAGACCCCAAGAUAUUUAAAAACUCAUCAGCACCUGCUUUCUGCAUCUGGACCCUGAUCUUCUGGUGGGUUUACCAGUUACUUGUAGAGUGUCCCUGUGAUAGUUUUAGGUGUCAACUUGACAGGAUUGAGGGAUGCCUAGAUGGCUGGGGAAGCACUGUUUCUGAGAAGGACCAUGUUUUUGGAGGAGACUGUUUUAUGAGUGAAUUUCAGGGGACACAUUCAGAUCAUGGCAGUGGCAUUAUAAAGAGAGACACAAAAGCUUGCUCUCUCUCUCUGCCAUGUAAGACUACCACACAAAGACUGCCAUCUGCAAACCAGAAGCAGGUGGGCCUUCCAACUUGGAUCAGGCCAUGCCACCGGCUUCUCUGAUUCUCCAGCUUGCAGAUGGUAUAUUGUGACCCUGGCAUUUAAUAACUAUGACUUUGGUCUUAAGCAAUUUUCUUCCUCUGUGGAUUGAUAUUUACAUAUCAAUGUGGAUAAUAAUUUCUUACCACGGUAACUGUUGUGAGGUAAAAAUGAGUUAACAUAAGUAAAACCGAGCACAUGCAAACCAUCCGAAAUGGUUAAUACUUACUAUUUGUACUUGAAGAAAUAAAUGUUUUUGACAAUAAACUUCUUGUGCAGUUUUCCU